GCACAAAGCUUAGUUGGUUAGAGUGUGGUGCUGAUAACGCCAAGGUUGCAGGUUCUAGCCCGGUAAGGGACAGCUGCA
This is a non-coding RNA of Podarcis lilfordi (Lilford's wall lizard), 78 nucleotides long. NCBI's taxonomy places the organism in Eukaryota, Metazoa, Chordata, Lepidosauria, Squamata, Lacertidae. The record is from the annotation of a GenBank genome assembly.